UCCUAGGUGGUCCAGUGGUUAGGACUUGGCAUUUUCACUUCCAUGGCCCUGGGUUCAAUCCCUGGUCUGGGAA
This is a non-coding RNA of Lipotes vexillifer (Yangtze River dolphin), 73 nucleotides long. NCBI's taxonomy places the organism in Eukaryota, Metazoa, Chordata, Mammalia, Artiodactyla, Lipotidae. The record is from the annotation of a RefSeq genome assembly.